Molecule: ribosomal RNA, 468 nt
Filed under: uncultured bacterium
Lineage: Bacteria
Description: partial 16S ribosomal RNA
Rfam family: Bacterial small subunit ribosomal RNA
Source: RNAcentral
GACGAACGCUGGCGGCGUGCUUAACACAUGCAAGUCGAACGGAGAAGCCCUGCUCUUGUGGGGUGCUGGAGUGGCGAGCGGGAGAGUAAAACGAGAGUAACCUGACCUGGACUCUGGGAUAUCAUCAGGAAACUAGGGCUAAUACAGGAUAGGAGAUCCUGCUGCAUGGUGGGGGUGGGAAAGUUUCGGCGGUUGUGGCGGGGCGCGCGGGUUAUACGCUGGUUGGGGGGGUAGUGGCUUACAAAGGCUUUGACGGGUAGCCGGCCUGAGAGGGUGACCGGCCCCAUUGGGACUGCGAUACGGACCAGCCUCCUACGGUAGGCAGCAGUGGGGAAUAGUGCACAACGGGCGCAAGCCUGAUGCAGCAGCGCCGCGUGCGUGAUGACGGCCUUUGGGUUGUAAACCGCUUUUGCCUGGGAUGAAGCGUGAGUGACGGUAACUGGUAAAGAAGCACCGGCUAACUACGUG